UGUUAGUAGAGUACGUCGAGAUUGAUUUAUUUUAAAUUAAAUCACUGUCCGCCAUAUUUGUAACAGACAACUUUUCUUCUUUUACUACUUACGGUGGAACGGUAGGAGAACUUUAUACGGGCUGUUUCCUAUAUAAAUUAUGCGUUUUCAGAUUUACGAUGAGUUUUUUGUUUUAAAUUGAUUAGAGGUGUAGUUAAGAAACCACCAUGUAGAUCUAUUUCUGAUGCAGAAUGUUAAAGCAUAUAUAUAUAUUCGAGUGCACGGACGAACGAUCUUCUCUCAUGGACUUUCUUUCUCUUCUCUUCGUUCUGGUUAACGGCCUCGAUCUUCAGUUAUUCGCGUGUUAGAAUAGAUCUUCCCUAUGAUAUAUAUUGAAACUUUAGUAAUAUAUUUUUCACGCACAUGUACACACACACACACACACACACGUGCGCAUUUCCUUAAUUUUUGUUACAUUAUACAAAUCAUCGAUGGAUCAUCAAUCACCCUAUUACUUUUUCCUAUUACUCAAAUGUUGAUAACUUUAACAUGAAUAUAUAUUUCAACAUCGUGAAAUAGAUAUAUUUCUAAGCUUUUAAAGAAGAUAGAUUUAGAAAAUCUAACGUCAAAUUUAACGAUGCAAAACCGACAACGAGUAUCGUUCUAAACGUUCGGUCAUGCGUUGCAAUAUUUUACACUUUACCAGAAGAAGAAGAAGAAGAAAAAUAAGAACAAGAAAUGGGGGAGAAAGAGGAAGAAGAAGAUGCUGCUGCCGUUGAUGAUGAUGCCAACUUUGAGGAAAAAAAAAAAAGAAAAAUUGAUAGAAGGCGCCAAACACGGAUGCAUCCGUGCAUUUGCUCGAUCGAGUCUUCUAAACGACGUUAUCAAGAUGGCCUUGAUUUAAUUGGACGCUUUCGUAUGUUUGAAUUUCAAAUGUUACAUGAAGUGGAAAUUUGGAAUUAAAAUGGCUACUACUCUGGUAUAUCUAGUGUUAAAAAGGUUGAAUGCAGCAACAGUCUCUGGUUUAGGAACGUGCAGUCGAUGCACUUGGCUGGAGCUACUCUAAUAAUAGUACGAGAGGACGAAACUUUCGUCGUGUUAGUUUCUAGCAAUGCAUGAAACCUUUUCUAAAUGAUAUUUAAAAGAAAACAACAAUAACAAUAACACAUCUAUGAUAACAACUUUUUACAUCAAUUUGUAAAAUAUCUUUCAAUGUAUUGGUAUAGGCAAGAAAGUAAUUUCGGUUUCCUAGUGUGAAAUAAAACUCAGUUGUUUAUUUUUACAUUUAUUUAAAAUUACACGAGGAAUUUGUUUCUAUAGAAACUUAAAAGUGUCAACUACCAAAUCUCAAAAGACAAAAAUUCUAACAUUAAUAUAUUCGCGGCUGGAAUAUUUUUUCCGAUUCUUAUACUAAG
Long non-coding RNA from Polistes dominula (European paper wasp), 1394 nucleotides. Lineage: Eukaryota; Metazoa; Arthropoda; Insecta; Hymenoptera; Vespidae. The record is from RefSeq and is a predicted model, not a curated record.